UCCGUCUCAGCGAACCCAAGUUCUCGCUGAGGAUCGAACCAAAAACCAUAUCUCUCUUUCUCAUUCCUUCUCUUUUCUCUCUGCUCAACCGAGGCCAUCGCUGGAAGCUCACCUUCUUUACUCACGGAGCCGUCGCCGAUCUACGCCUUUCGGCGUCUAUUUCCUAGUUGCAGAAACAAAGUCGGUUUCCGCGUCUGUCGUGUUUCAGAGGUUCGCUACCUUCUCUGCAGAUCCUUUUAGUUAGGCAAAAAUCAUGGCAACUCUGAAAGACCUUCUUCCUGCUGUAAAGUCAACGACUGUAAUGCACUAUGAUCACUCAAAUGAUCCAUGGUUCAAGCAGCGGUUUAGUACAUCAGAAGCAGAGCAAACUUCUGUUAUCAAACCCAUUCCUGUGCCACCUUACUUGAAGCGUAGUGGAUUUGUUCCACGGAAAGUAGAGGAUUUCGGAGAUGGUGGUGCAUUCCCAGAGAUUCACAUUGCUCAAUACCCACUUGACAUGGGUAGAGACAAAUCAUCAAAGCCUGGAUCAAAGAUCCUUCCUGUUACAGUGGAUGCUCGUGGAAAUGUUGCAUAUGAUGCUAUUGUCAAGCAGAAUGAAAAUUCUAAAAAGAUUGUCUACUCGCAGCAUAAAGACCUCAUUCCAAAGAUUUUGAAAAAUGAUGAAGACCAUGAUGAGGAAGAAGAUGAAGAGUUGCAGAAAGAGAUUGAAGAAACGACCGAGGAAACAAAGUCUGCACUCGAAAAGAUAGUUAAUGUCAGAUUGAGUGCAGCUCAGCCUAAAAAUGUACCCAAACAAUCAUCGGAUUCAAAGUUUAUCAAGUAUAAGCCAUCUCAGCAAUCAGCUGCUUUUAAUUCAGGUGCCAAGGAGAGAAUAAUUAGAAUGGUGGAGAUGCCAGUAGAUCCACUUGAGCCUCCAAAGUUCAAGCAUAAGCGUGUUCCUAGAGCUUCUGGUUCUCCGCCAGUGCCUGUCAUGCAUUCCCCACCUCGUCCCGUCACCGUGAAGGAUCAACAGGAUUGGAAGAUACCACCUUGUAUUUCAAAUUGGAAAAAUCCAAAAGGUUAUACAAUCCCACUUGAUAAGCGCCUUGCAGCUGACGGGAGAGGCCUUCAAGAAGUCCAAAUUAAUGACAAUUUUGCAAAGCUAUCUGAAGCACUGUACGUUGCAGAACAGAAAGCUAGAGAAGCAGUUGCAAUGAGAUCGAAGGUUCAGAAAGAAAUGCUCAUGAAACAGAAAGAGAAAAAGGAGCUGGAGCUCCGUGCUUUGGCUCAGAAAGCUCGGUCUGAGAGGACUGGAGCUGCACCUCCUUCUGCGAUUCCUUAUCCAUCUGAGAGGAGCGCAGAAGAUGCUUCUGAGGUGAAAGGGGAUUUCGAGCGUGUAAGAGAAAAAGAGAAGGAUUUACCAAGGGAGACGCGGGAAGAAAGGGAAGAGCGGUUGCAGCGCGAGAAGAUUCGUGAAGAACGACGUCGAGAGAGGGAAAGGGAAAGAAGGUUAGAGGCCAAAGAUGCAGCAAUGGGGAAGAAGAGUAAGAUUACAAGAGAUAGAGAUCGUGAUAUCAGUGAGAAGGUUGCACUUGGUAUGGCUUCUACUGGAGCAGGUAGAGAAGGAGAGGUUAUGUAUGACCAGAGGCUAUUUAACCAAGAUAAAGGAAUGGACUCUGGAUUCGCCACUGACGACCAGUACAAUAUAUACGACAAGGGCUUAUUUACUGCUCAACCAACUCUUUCAACCCUUUACAGACCCAAAAAAGAUGCUGAUUCCGAUAUGUAUGGAGGUGCUGAUGAACAGUUGGACAAGAUUAUGAAGACUGAUCGCUUCAAACCCGACAAGUCGUUUUCGGGCACUGCAGAAAGGUCUGGACCUAGAGACAGGCCAGUUGAGUUUGAAAGAGAGGUCGAGGAAGCCGAUCCAUUUGGACUUGAUCAGUUCUUGACUGAAGUGAAGAAAGGUAAAAAAGCUAUGGAUAAAGUUGGCAGUGGCGGGACGAUGAGAGCCAGUGGUGGUUCUUCGACGCGAGAUGGUUAUGAUGGUGGCUCCGGUAGAACUCGCAUUGGGUUCGAAAGAGGGCAUUAGGAGGUGGAAAAGUUGGCAUACUGAUCAAGGGAAUAAUUUUCGGAGAAAAUGGUGCCAAAUUUUUCACAUGUAUAUCUUAGAUGCCUUGAGGUGAAACGGUUCAUUUAGGAAAAAAAAAAGGAACAUAGAACCUACGCUGGAUUUUCCUUUCCGAUUCUCUUGCUUUGAUUUAUUAACCGAAAACCCUAUUCGUGAGAGAGUAAUGAUGAAAAAGAAUGAUCGACGACGACCGCCACCAAAUAAUAAAUUAUUAAGAAAAAUAGGAGAAAAUGAAAGCUACCGAAUCAUGGAUUUUGGAGGGCAAACACGUCGACAGGUAUUCUCUUUCACCCAUUUUGAAGCACAUAUAAUAAAAAUUCGACUUUUAAAUGUUUGAUAAGAUUUUUGUUUCUGGUCUU
This is a non-coding RNA of Momordica charantia (bitter melon), 2469 nucleotides long. NCBI's taxonomy places the organism in Eukaryota, Viridiplantae, Streptophyta, Magnoliopsida, Cucurbitales, Cucurbitaceae. The record is from RefSeq and is a predicted model, not a curated record.